RNAcentral lists this unclassified non-coding RNA (375 nucleotides) under Hevea brasiliensis (rubber tree). Lineage: Eukaryota; Viridiplantae; Streptophyta; Magnoliopsida; Malpighiales; Euphorbiaceae. The record is from RNAcentral.
GAUAACUUAAGCUCGUUAAAUUUAACUGCUACAACUAAAGUCAUUUAUUAACUUUAAGUUAUGAAUUAAGUUUUCCUAUAAAUAGGUGUAUGUUCUCUUCUCUCUUAUAAUAUAAUAACACAAAAUACUAAGAAGAAAAAGUUUAGAGAGAGUUUUAAAGUAAAAAAAAUGUGUUUUUUGUGGAUCUUUGGAUUCAACUACUAGUGCAGAGUUGAUUUGAAUCAGACGAUGAAAUUGUCGGGCUGUUGUAUCCUUGAGGAGAUAAGUCAAUAUAAUGUCUACUUCAUCAGUUUGUGGGCAUUGCCUGCAGAGAGUUUGAAAUUCCUUAAAGAGAGCGAGAUAUCUGUACAUUUGUCUGAUCAGUCUCGUUAAUUU